This 1343-nucleotide ribosomal RNA is filed under the name hot springs metagenome. RNAcentral describes it as "bacterial LSU rRNA". The stretch from base 1 to 945 matches the Rfam family "Bacterial large subunit ribosomal RNA", at positions 1594 to 2925 of the family's 2925-position model. The record is from RNAcentral.
CUGACGCCACACUGCCGAGAAACAAUGGCGCUGGCGUUGAAGCACCGCUGCCCGUACCGGAAACCGACACAGGUGGGCUGGGUUAGCAGCCUAAGGCGUCGGGGGAACUCCCCUCAAGGAACUCGGCAAGUUGCCCCCGUACCUUCGGAAGAAGGGGGGCCCGUGGAGGUGAAGCCCUCGCGGCGUAAGCCUCUGCGGGUCGCAGAGACCGGGCGGUGCCGACUGUUUACCAAAAACACAGGACUACGCAAACCCGUAAGGGGCUGUAUGUGGUCUGAAGCCUGGCCAGUGCCCGUAGGUGAAGGGGCGGGGUGCAAGCCCCAAACCGAAGCCCGGGUAAACGCCGGCCGUAACUCUGACGGUCCUAAGGUAGCGAAAUUCCUUGUCGGGUAAGUUCCGACCUGCAUGAAUGGCCCAACGAGUGCCGCACUGUCUCGAGGGGAGGCCCGGCGAAAUUGUGAUGCCGGUCAAGACGCCGGCUACCCGCGGCAGGACGGAAAGACCCCGUGAAGCUUCACUGUAGCCUGGUACUGAGUCUUAGCCUAUCCUGCGCAGGAUAGGUGGGAGCCUGUGAAGUCCCUCCUCCGGGAGGGAUGGAGGCGCCGGUGAGAUACCACCCUGGACAGGCUGAGACUCUAACCCAGCGGAGUUAUCCUCCGCGGGGACCGUGCCAGGUGGGCAGUUUAGCUGGGGCGGCUGCCUCCUAAAAGGUAACGGAGGCGUCCAAAGGUACCCUCAGGCGGGUCGGAAAUCCGCCGUAGAGUACAAGGGCAGAAGGGUGCCUGACUGUGAGGCCGACAGGCCGAGCAGACGCGAAAGCGGGGCCUAGUGACCCACCGGUCCCAUGGGGAAGGGCCGGUGAUCAGCGGAUAAAAGCUACUCCGGGGAUAACGCAUGUUGUCCCGUUAUCCGGGCAACCGGAUAACUAGCACACGGCUUAUAACGGGGGAGCCCUUAUCCCCAGGGUAAUCCCGUGGGAAGUCUGGAGAGGCACCAAUGGUGAGCAAAAGGCAAAGGGAGAUCCUCAUAGGUACGAUAUUGGGAGAUGGAUAUCUCCAAAAAACAGGUAAACGCAACGCAAGGCUAAAACUUGAGCACUCGGAAAAGCAAAAGGAUUACAUCUUUUGGAAAUACGAGGAGCUCAAGAACCUGAUGCAAGAUAGACCAAAGAGGAUUGAGAGGUUUAACCCAAAAUGGGGAAAAACCUACGUGUAUUACCGAUGUCAAACCCACUCUAUGCCUCUGCUGGGAAGGUAUAAAAGAUAUUUCUACGACGAGGGCGGAAAAAAGAGGGUGCCCGAGAACAUAGAAAAGCUUUUGAGGUCUCCCUUGUCUUUGGCAGU